This 253-nucleotide ribosomal RNA is filed under the name uncultured bacterium. Its description in RNAcentral is "partial 16S ribosomal RNA". It matches the Rfam family "Bacterial small subunit ribosomal RNA", at positions 524 to 776 of the family's 1533-position model. The record is from RNAcentral.
UACGUAGGGUGCGAGCGUUGUCCGGAAUUAUUGGGCGUAAAGGGCUCGUAGGCGGUCUGUCGCGUCGGGAGUGAAAACUCAGGGCUUAACCCUGAGCCUGCUUCCGAUACGGGCAGACUAGAGGUAUGCAGGGGAGAACGGAAUUCCUGGUGUAGCGGUGGAAUGCGCAGAUAUCAGGAGGAACACCGGUGGCGAAGGCGGUUCUCUGGGCAUUACCUGACGCUGAGGCUCGAAAGCGUGGGGAGCAAACAGG